RNAcentral lists this ribosomal RNA (898 nucleotides) under Colletotrichum fioriniae. Its description in RNAcentral is "LSU rRNA". It matches the Rfam family "Eukaryotic large subunit ribosomal RNA", at positions 38 to 967 of the family's 3401-position model. Lineage: Eukaryota; Fungi; Ascomycota; Sordariomycetes; Glomerellales; Glomerellaceae. The record is from RNAcentral.
GCAUAUCAAUAAGCGGAGGAAAAGAAACCAACAGGGAUUGCCCCAGUAACGGCGAGUGAAGCGGCAACAGCUCAAAUUUGAAAUCUGGCCCCAGGCCCGAGUUGUAAUUUGCAGAGGAUGCUUUUGGCGCGGUGCCUUCCGAGUUCCCUGGAACGGGACGCCAUAGAGGGUGAGAGCCCCGUACGGUUGGACACCAAGCCUUUGUAAAGCUCCUUCGACGAGUCGAGUAGUUUGGGAAUGCUGCUCUAAAUGGGAGGUACAUUUCUUCUAAAGCUAAAUAUUGGCCAGAGACCGAUAGCGCACAAGUAGAGUGAUCGAAAGAUGAAAAGCACUUUGAAAAGAGGGUUAAACAGCACGUGAAAUUGUUAAAAGGGAAGCGCUUGUGACCAGACUUGCGUCCGGUGAAUCACCCAGCUCUCGCGGCUGGGGCACUUCGCCGGCACAGGCCAGCAUCAGCUUGCCGUCGGGGACAAAAGCUUCAGGAACGUAGCUCCUCUCGGGGAGUGUUAUAGCCUGUUGUAUAAUACCCUUCGGCGGGCUGAGGUACGCGCUCCGCAAGGAUGCUGGCGUAAUGGUCAUCAGCGACCCGUCUUGAAACACGGACCAAGGAGUCAACCUUAUGUGCGAGUGUUUGGGUGUUAAACCCCUACGCGUAAUGAAAGUGAACGCAGGUGAGAGCUUCGGCGCAUCAUCGACCGAUCCUGAUGUUCUCGGAUGGAUUUGAGUAAGAGCAUAUAGGGUUGGACCCGAAAGAAGGUGAACUAUGCGUGUGUAGGGUGAAGCCAGAGGAAACUCUGGUGGAGGCUCGCAGCGGUUCUGACGUGCAAAUCGAUCGUCAAACAUGCGCAUGGGGGCGAAAGACUAAUCGAACCUUCUAGUAGCUGGUUUCCGCCGAAGU